This 429-nucleotide ribosomal RNA is filed under the name Gemmatimonadota bacterium. RNAcentral's name for it is "Gemmatimonadetes bacterium partial 16S ribosomal RNA". It matches the Rfam family "Bacterial small subunit ribosomal RNA", at positions 355 to 776 of the family's 1533-position model. The record is from RNAcentral. Lineage: Bacteria; Pseudomonadati; Gemmatimonadota.
UAGGGAAUCUUCGGCAAUGGACGAAAGUCUGACCGAGCAACGCCGCGUGAGUGAAGAAGGUUUUCGGAUCGUAAAACUCUGUUGUUAGAGAAGAACAAGGACGUUAGUAACUGAACGUCCCCUGACGGUAUCUAACCAGAAAGCCACGGCUAACUACGUGCCAGCAGCCGCGGUAAUACGUAGGUGGCAAGCGUUGUCCGGAUUUAUUGGGCGUAAAGCGAGCGCAGGCGGUUUCUUAAGUCUGAUGUGCAAGCCCCCGGCUCAACCGGGGAGGGUCAUUGGAAACUGGGAGACUUGAGUGCAGAAGAGGAGAGUGGAAUUCCAUGUGUAGCGGUGAAAUGCGUAGAUAUAUGGAGGAACACCAGUGGCGAAGGCGGCUCUCUGGUCUGUAACUGACGCUGAGGCUCGAAAGCGUGGGGAGCAAACAGG